This 635-nucleotide ribosomal RNA is filed under the name uncultured bacterium. Its description in RNAcentral is "bacterial SSU rRNA". It matches the Rfam family "Bacterial small subunit ribosomal RNA", at positions 395 to 1045 of the family's 1533-position model. The record is from RNAcentral.
CUCCGCGUGAGGGAUGAAGGCUCUGGGCUGUAAACCUCUUUUAUCAAGGAAGAAGAUCUGACGGUACUUGAUGAAUAAGCCACGGCUAAUUCCGUGCCAGCAGCCGCGGUAAUACGGGAGUGGCAAGCGUUAUCCGGAAUUAUUGGGCGUAAAGCGUCCGCAGGCGGUCUUUUAAGUCUGUCGUCAAAGCGUGGAGCUUAACUCCAUUUCUGCGAUGGAAACUGGAAGACUAGAGUGUGGUAGGGGCAGAGGGAAUUCCCGGUGUAGCGGUGAAAUGCGUAGAUAUCGGGAAGAACACCAGUGGCGAAGGCGCUCUGCUGGGCCAUAACUGACGCUCAUGGACGAAAGCCAGGGGAGCGAAAGGGAUUAGAUACCCCUGUGGUCCUGGCCGUAAACGAUGAACACUAGGUGUCGGGGGAAUCGACCCCCUCGGUGUCGUAGCCAACGCGUUAAGUGUUCCGCCUGGGGAGUACGCACGCAAGUGUGAAACUCAAAGGAAUUGACGGGGGCCCGCACAAGCGGUGGAGUAUGUGGUUUAAUUCGAUGCAACGCGAAGAACCUUACCAGGGUUUGACAUCCUGCGAAUCUCUUGGAAACGAGAGAGUGCCUUCGGGAACGCAGUGACAGGUGGUGCA